AUGGAGCUCAAGGGUACACCACUGCCGCCCAAGGACGAGUUCGCCGCGGAGACGUCGUCGUCGUCGUCGUUUACCGUGGAGGUGACCGUGCUUUCCGCGGAGGAGGUCGUCAUCGGGGACCGCUGGCGCCGCCUGCUGGACCGCGGGGCGUACGCCGAGGUGCGCGCGGGCAAGUCGAAGGCGUCCACCGGCAUCAACAGCGAGAAGGGCGACUGCAACGGGUACCCCUACUGGGGCGAGGCGGUCCGCGUGACGGUGCCGGGGCACGAGAAGGCGAUCGACGUGGUGAUCUGCCGCCGGCGGGAGUCCGUGGCGGAGGCGAGCGUGGCGGUCGCCGACUUCAGCGUCGGUCCGCCAGGCCACCUGCAUUGCCUCAGCUACCGGCUGUUCGACGCUAAGUCCUUAACGAGGAACCGCAACGGCAUCGUCAACAUAACCGUCAAGAGGCUCGACGGCGCGGCGGUGCCACGUGGUGAAGGGAAAGGCGGGAAGGCCGUGGAGGACGCCGCGAGUGGCACUGGUGAUUCCUGCUGUGGUGGUGUCGCCGACAAGGGGAAGGUGCCACUGGCGGCGGCGCCGGCACCGGCCGGUGCGGUGAUGGGCUAUCCCGUCGAGUUCUCCGUUGCUGGGCAGGCUAAUGGAAAGGGCAGAACUAGUUGA
This 660-nucleotide ribosomal RNA is filed under the name Triticum aestivum (bread wheat). Its description in RNAcentral is "partial small subunit ribosomal RNA". The record is from RNAcentral. Lineage: Eukaryota; Viridiplantae; Streptophyta; Magnoliopsida; Poales; Poaceae.